UCACAUUAUUUGCUAUGAACCGAGUGC
RNAcentral lists this small RNA (27 nucleotides) under Bombyx mori (domestic silkworm). RNAcentral's name for it is "ovarian small RNA-25075". The record is from RNAcentral. Lineage: Eukaryota; Metazoa; Arthropoda; Insecta; Lepidoptera; Bombycidae.